UACGGAGGGUGCAAACGUUGCUCGGAAUCAUUGGGCGUAAAGCGCACGUAGGCGGCGGCGUAAGCGGGAUGUGAAAGCCCAGGGCUCAACCCUGGAAGUGCAUCCCGAACUGUGUCGCUUGAAUCUCGGAGGGGGACAGAGAAUUCCCGGUGUAGAGGUGAAAUUCGUAGAUAUCGGGAGGAAUACCAGUGGCGAAGGCGCUGUCCUGGACGAAGAUUGACGCUGAGGUGCGAAAGCGUGGGGAGCAAAC
Molecule: ribosomal RNA, 250 nt
Filed under: uncultured bacterium
Lineage: Bacteria
Description: partial 16S ribosomal RNA
Rfam family: Bacterial small subunit ribosomal RNA
Source: RNAcentral